RNAcentral lists this unclassified non-coding RNA (187 nucleotides) under fungal sp. RNAcentral describes it as "partial internal transcribed spacer region". The stretch from base 1 to 46 matches the Rfam family "Eukaryotic small subunit ribosomal RNA", at positions 1786 to 1831 of the family's 1831-position model. Lineage: Eukaryota; Fungi. The record is from RNAcentral.
AAGUCGUAACAAGGUUUCCGUAGGUGAACCUGCGGAAGGAUCAUUUCAAUAUAAAGAGACUAAAUGUCUUUUUAAACAAAUGUGCAACUGUUUUUAUAUUUAUAUAAAACCUUUAUAUCUUAAAGAUUUUUCUUUUCUUAAGGAAAAUAACAAUACAUAACUUUUAACAAUGGAUCUCUUGGCUCUU